RNAcentral lists this ribosomal RNA (301 nucleotides) under uncultured bacterium. RNAcentral's name for it is "partial 16S ribosomal RNA". It matches the Rfam family "Bacterial small subunit ribosomal RNA", at positions 509 to 807 of the family's 1533-position model. The record is from RNAcentral.
CAGCCGCCGCGGGAAUACGAAGGGUGCAAGCGUUACUCGGAAUUACUGGGCGUAAAGCGUGCGUAGGUGGUGGUUUAAGUCCGUUGUGAAAGCCCUGGGCUCAACCUGGGAAUGGCAAUGGAUACUGGCAAGCUAGAGUGUGUCAGAGGAUGGUGGAAUUCCCGGUGUAGCGGUGAAAUGCGUAGAGAUCGGGAGGAACAUCAGUGGCGAAGGCGGCCAUCUGGGACAACACUGACGCUGAGGCACGAAAGCGUGGGGAGCAAACAGGAUUAGAUACCCCAGUAGUCCCUGUCUCUUAUAC